CAGUCUGCAACAUGCUUAGAAACAAAACACUACAUAGUGUGAUGCAGCAAAACAUACAUAGUGUGGUGCAGCGUCUUCUUGAGGAAGAGGAAACAAGAAGCAAAGCAGCAGUGUCCGUGCCUGUACAGAAUACCACAACAGCAGCCAUGUCAACGCAGACUGCCACAGAGAAAGAAGGAACCAAAAGGAAAACAACAGUGUCCGUGUCUACGCAGACUGUCAUGGAGGAAGAAACAAAAAGCAAAGCAAAGGUGUCUAUGUCUACACAGACCGGCACAGAGGAGGAAGGAAUCGAAAGUGCCAUCAGCAUCUCCACACAAACCAUCACCAAACCAGAGCAGCCUGAACCCAUAGGGGUUGCCCCUGUUCAGAAGAAGAAAUCGAGGAGCAAAUCAGUCCGCAUAGUGACUGACGAGGACACUGCAGGACCCUCGCACCCAGUGGAAGAGACAGAACCAGAGAUCAUCACUCGCUCUCUAUCCCUGGGUGAGCUACGUGACCUGCGGAGAGAAUUCACCCGCCAGACAAAUGAGUCCAUCCUCACCUGGCUUCUCCGCAUCUGGGACGCUGCAGCCAAUGACACCAUUCUGGAUGGAAGUGAGGCCAGGCAACUGGGAUCACUAUCCCGGGAUGUGGUCAUUGACCAGGGGAUUGGGAGAACCCAAGAAACUCUCAGCCUCUGGCGGCGACUGCUUGCAAGUGUGAAGGACAGAUACCUUUGUAAAGAAGACCUCCAGGUACUCCAAGGAAAAUGGAAUACCAUGGAACAAGGUAUCCGAUGCCUAAGGGAAUUGGCUGUGUUGGAGAUAAUUUUUGCAGAAGACGAAAGAUUUCCUAAGAGUCCAGACUGUGUCCAGUGCACAUCACAAAUGUGGUUGAGAUUUGCACGGCUUGGACCAGAGAUGUACGCUCGUUACCUGGCAACACUGCAGUGGAGAGAAGGCGAGGACAGGGUGGGCGUCCUAGCCAAUAAGUUAAGAAUUUACGAGGACACGGUCACCGCCCCGUUUCGUACCCAUGUCUCGUCCGUGGAAACAAGGUUGGCUGAGCAAGUCCGGGACUUGAUUGAAGAGAGUCAUAAGAAACUAAAAAAGGAACUUAAGGAAGAAGGCUACCAUAUUUUACCAGAACCAACAAGAAUCUCUGCCAUUAGGAGCCAGCGCUCCCAAGCCAAGGAGAGAGGAUACACUCCACGAGGAAACCUCUGGUUUUUUCUUCAGGAGCAUGGAGAAGACAUGAGGAAGUGGGAUGGAAAACCCACCUCUUCCUUAGCAGCCCGAGUACGUGAACUAAAAAGAACACCUAACACAAAAAGAGUAAAUGCUGCUCCAGUCUCUCAAACACAGAGUUCCAGACAAUAUAAGAAUAAUGAUAUAACUGAUCCUCUUGAAGGAACCUCAAGAACCUAUUUACCAGAAGAGAGCAACGUGUACCAUGACCAGGAAUAGAGGGGCCCUGCCUCUAGCCAGGUAGAGGACAGGGACAAUCGGAUCUAUUGGACCGUGUGGAUUCGAUGGCCUGGCACAUCUGAACCACAAAAAUAUACAGCUUUGGUUGACACCGGUGCCCAAUGUACC
Chloebia gouldiae (Gouldian finch) is the source of this 1577-nucleotide long non-coding RNA. The record is from Ensembl. NCBI's taxonomy places the organism in Eukaryota, Metazoa, Chordata, Aves, Passeriformes, Passeridae.